RNAcentral lists this small RNA (109 nucleotides) under Phascolarctos cinereus (koala). RNAcentral's name for it is "WT1 antisense RNA conserved region 6 (ENSPCIG00000007996.2)". The record is from RNAcentral. Lineage: Eukaryota; Metazoa; Chordata; Mammalia; Diprotodontia; Phascolarctidae.
CAGCGCUCCUAGAGCCGCCCUGGCUCCUCUCCCUGCGUAACCUCCUGAGCCGCGGACAACUGAACAAACACGCAGGAGCCCAGGGAUCUGUCAAGAACCUUGUCCUCCU